Molecule: long non-coding RNA, 542 nt
Filed under: Phoenix dactylifera (date palm)
Lineage: Eukaryota; Viridiplantae; Streptophyta; Magnoliopsida; Arecales; Arecaceae
Description: long non-coding RNA (PDAC_LNC016695)
Source: RNAcentral
AUNUAAAAACAUGACCUUCCUGUGCUAGACAUGAAACAUAAAUCAAAUUUCUGCUAGCAGCAGGUACAUAAUAGCAGUCUCUAAGUAAUAAACUAAAACCAGACGGUAGUCGCAGAUGGUAGAAGCCGACAGCCACAGCAGCAACUUUUGCCCCGUUGCCAAUCCGAAGGGUUAUCGCACCUUCCGCCAGCCUUCUACUUUCCUUUAGACCCUGCAUGGUAGUGCACAGAUGAGCACUAGAACCAGAAUCUAUAACCCAACUAGAAGAAGAAAAACCAUUAGAUUAGUUUCAAUUGUGAGCAAGUCUAUACCUUCUGAAGGUGUGUCAUUCUUCUUGUUCUUCAGGCUCUCGAGGUAUGAAGGACAGUUCCUCUUCCAGUGGCCGUCGACAUUGCAGUGGAAACAUUUUCCUUUGUCAUUGGCCUUUUUCUUUUGAACUUCCUUCUUUGGCUUCUUGUCUUUCUUUUGCUUCUUCGCAGGCUUCUUUUUCUUCCAAGUAAACUUUCUCUUGGAACCAGAAGUCAACUUAGCAGCAAGGACAU